GAUGAACGCUGGCGGCGUGCUUAACACAUGCAAGUCGAGCGAAGCACUUAAGUUUGAUUCUUCGGAUGAAGACUUUUGUGACUGAGCGGCGACGGGUGAGUACGCGUGGUAACCGUGCCUCAUACAGGGGGAUAACAGUUAGAAAUGGCUGCUAAUACCGCAUAAGACCACAGUACUGCAUGGUACAGUGGUAAAAACUCCGGUGGUAUGAGAUGGACCCGCGUCUGAUUAGGUAGUUGGUGAGGUAACGGCCCACCAAGCCGACGAUCAGUAGCCGACCUGAGAGGGUGACCGGCCACAUUGGGACUGAGACACGGCCCAG
Molecule: ribosomal RNA, 322 nt
Filed under: uncultured bacterium
Lineage: Bacteria
Description: bacterial SSU rRNA
Rfam family: Bacterial small subunit ribosomal RNA
Source: RNAcentral